ACGUCCUUAGUUCAGUCGGUAGAACGCAGGUUUCCAAAACCUGAUGUCAUGGGUUCAAGUCCUAUAGGGCGUG
RNAcentral lists this transfer RNA (73 nucleotides) under Chlamydomonas applanata. RNAcentral describes it as "tRNA-Trp". It matches the Rfam family "tRNA". From Rfam's summary of the family: Transfer RNA (tRNA) molecules are approximately 80 nucleotides in length. The record is from RNAcentral. RNAcentral also lists the same sequence under 1 other name. Lineage: Eukaryota; Viridiplantae; Chlorophyta; Chlorophyceae; Chlamydomonadales; Chlamydomonadaceae.